Molecule: ribosomal RNA, 254 nt
Filed under: uncultured bacterium
Lineage: Bacteria
Description: partial 16S ribosomal RNA
Rfam family: Bacterial small subunit ribosomal RNA
Source: RNAcentral
UACGUAGGGUCCGAGCGUUGUCCGGAAUUAUUGGGCGUAAAGGGCUCGUAGGCGGUCUGUCGCGUCGAUCGUGAAAACUUGGGGCUUAACCCUGAGCUUGCGGUCGAUACGGGCAUGACUGGAGUUCGGCAGGGGAGACUGGAAUUCCUGGUGUAGCGGUGAAAUGCGCAGAUAUCAGGAGGAACACCGGUGGCGAAGGCGGGUCUCUGGGCCGAUACUGACGCUGAGGAGCGAAAGCGUGGGGAGCAAACAGG